AGCUCUCAGAGGGUGAGACAGAUUCAUUCCAUUUGCUUUGUGGUGACUGCAGAUUGAAGCACAAACCUUUGGAUUUGGAGAGAUUCAGAAGGCAGAAAAAGAGACAAGAGCUCAAGCCCAUGGAACCAAGGAGAGAGGAAGGUCUCCAGAAAACUAGCUGAGCCCCAGUUGAAGGACUUUGAAGGAGACAUUAAAGGAUUUGAACUUUAACACCUGGCGGCCUCCAGAAACCCCAAGGAAACCUCAAUAGAGAACAUUACAUUUCAAAGAGAGUAUUACACCUCUGUACCCUUUUUAAAAGACCGGGCUUUCUCCAACAUGGCCUAGCAUGGUUUCAUAGCAGAAAGGUGGGAUUCAGAAUCUUUUGUCUUUUAUCAAGAAGGUAAUAAGCAUCUCUGUCCCAUCAAGCAGUCAUAUGGAAGAUCCUGUUAGUCAAAAACUCAAGGACUUCAAAAACGAAGAAACAGGUCAUCACUAUGUAGCUCAGAACUACUGUGAUAAAGACAUUGAAGGCAUUCUCAUAGACAGUGAAGUCCUCUGAAGAGAAAAUACUGAUGCCAGUGGUGAUCUCCAUGGUCUUAGAAGUUUGAGUUAUGGGCAACAGUGGAGCCAGAAUUACAGGAAUGGUUAUUCAAUGAGUGUGAGAUGCAUGCAAGUCCAGGGAACCUGAGAUUUGAGCCCAAGGUUGUAGUUUUGGAUUUGGAAUUGGGAUAAUUCUCUUUAAGAUCUGAGAUAAGCCAUGAACUUUUAGCAAGUGUUAUCUCCAAUAUGUAAUAUGGGAGUGUCAUUAUGUGGCUCAAUAGGAAGCAGAAGAGACAUCUCUAGAAUCUUUUCCUCUUCCUUUUCCAAGGGAGAAUUUAAUUUCUGUCAGGAGGAGGAAGCAAGAGCUUGGGAU
Molecule: long non-coding RNA, 895 nt
Filed under: Sarcophilus harrisii (Tasmanian devil)
Lineage: Eukaryota; Metazoa; Chordata; Mammalia; Dasyuromorphia; Dasyuridae
Description: lncRNA (ENSSHAG00000028453.1)
Source: RNAcentral